CCAGACGUUGACGGUAUUAAACCAGAAAGCCACGGCUAACUACGUGCCAGCAGCCGCGGUAAUACGUAGGUGGCAAGCGUUAUCCGGAUUUAUUGGGCGUAAAGCGAGCGCAGGCGGUUUUUUAAGUCUGAUGUGAAAGCCCUCGGCUUAACCGAGGAAGUGCAUCGGAAACUGGGAAACUUGAAUGCUGAAGAGGACAGUGGAACUCCAUGUGUAGCGGUGAAAUGNGUAGAUAUAUGGAAGAACCCCAGUGGNGAAGGCGGCGGUCUGGUCAGUUAUUGACGCUGAGGCUCGAAAGCAUGGGUAGCGACCAGGAUUAGAUACCCUGGUA
RNAcentral lists this ribosomal RNA (331 nucleotides) under uncultured Lactobacillus sp. Its description in RNAcentral is "bacterial SSU rRNA". It matches the Rfam family "Bacterial small subunit ribosomal RNA", at positions 462 to 792 of the family's 1533-position model. The record is from RNAcentral. Lineage: Bacteria; Bacillati; Bacillota; Bacilli; Lactobacillales; Lactobacillaceae.